GACGAACGCUGGCGGCGUGCCUAAUACAUGCAAGUUGAGCGCUGAAGGUUGGUACUUGUACCCACUGGAUGAGCAGCGAACGGGUGAGUAACGCGUGGGGAAUCUGCCUUUGAGCGGGGGACAACAUUUGGAAACGAAUGCUAAUACCGCAUAAAAACUUUAAACACAAGUUUUAAGUUUGAAAGAUGCAAUUGCAUCACUCAAAGAUGAUCCCGCGUUGUAUUAGCUAGUUGGUGAGGUAAAGGCUCACCAAGGCGAUGAUACAUAGCCGACCUGAGAGGGUGAUCGGCCACAUUGGGACUGAGACACGGCCCAAACUCCUACGGGAGGCAGCAGUAGGGAAUCUUCGGCAAUGGACGAAAGUCUGACCGAGCAACGCCGCGUGAGUGAAGAAGGUUCUCGGAUCGUAAAACUCGGUUGGUAGAGAAGAACGUUGGUGAGAGUGGAAAGCUCAUCAAGUGACGGUAACUACCCAGAAGGGGACGGCUAACUACGUG
RNAcentral lists this ribosomal RNA (497 nucleotides) under uncultured bacterium. RNAcentral's name for it is "partial 16S ribosomal RNA". It matches the Rfam family "Bacterial small subunit ribosomal RNA", at positions 28 to 507 of the family's 1533-position model. The record is from RNAcentral.